UGGGGAAUUUUGGACAAUGGGCGAAAGCCUGAUCCAGCAAUGCCGCGUGUGUGAAGAAGGCCUUCGGGUUGUAAAGCACUUUUGUCCGGAAAGAAAUCCUUGGCUCUAAUACAGUCGGGGGAUGACGGUACCGGAAGAAUAAGCACCGGCUAACUACGUGCCAGCAGCCGCGGUAAUACGUAGGGUGCAAGGCGUUAAUCGGAAUUACUGGGCGUAAAGCGUGCGCAGGCGGUUUGCUAAGACCGAUGUGAAAUCCCGGGCUCAACCUGGGAACUGCAUUGGUGACUGGCAGGCUAGAGUAUGGCAGAGGGGGGUAGAAUUCCACGUGUAGCAGUGAAAUGCGUAGAGAUGUGGAGGAAUACCGAUGGCGAAGGCAGCCCCCUGGGCCAAUACUGACGCUCAUGCACGAAAGCGUGGGGGAGCAAACAGGAUUAGAUACCCGUGGUAGUCCAGCGCCCUAAACGAUGUCAACUAG
Molecule: ribosomal RNA, 475 nt
Filed under: uncultured bacterium
Lineage: Bacteria
Description: partial 16S ribosomal RNA
Rfam family: Bacterial small subunit ribosomal RNA
Source: RNAcentral